GACGAACGCUGGCGGCGUGCUUAACACAUGCAAGUCGAACGGAAAGGCCCUGCUUUUGUGGGGUGCUCGAGUGGCGAACGGGUGAGUAACACGUGAGUAACCUGCCCUUGACUUUGGGAUAACUUCAGGAAACUGGGGCUAAUACCGGAUAGGAGCUCCUGCUGCAUGGUGGGGGUUGGAAAGUUUCGGCGGUUGGGGAUGGACUCGCGGCUUAUCAGCUUGUUGGUGGGGUAGUGGCUUACCAAGGCUUUGACGGGUAGCCGGCCUGAGAGGGUGACCGGCCACAUUGGGACUGAGAUACGGCCCAGACUCCUACGGGAGGCAGCAGUGGGAAAUAUUGCGCAAUGGGCGGAAGCCUGAUGCAGCAACGCCGCGUGCGGGAUGACGGCCUUCGGGUUGUAAACCGCUUUCGCCUGUGACGAAGCGUGAGUGACGGUAAUGGGUAAAGAAGCACCGGCUAACUACGUG
Molecule: ribosomal RNA, 468 nt
Filed under: uncultured bacterium
Lineage: Bacteria
Description: partial 16S ribosomal RNA
Rfam family: Bacterial small subunit ribosomal RNA
Source: RNAcentral